Molecule: ribosomal RNA, 492 nt
Filed under: uncultured bacterium
Lineage: Bacteria
Description: partial 16S ribosomal RNA
Rfam family: Bacterial small subunit ribosomal RNA
Source: RNAcentral
AGCGAACGCUGGCGGUAGGCCUAACACAUGCAAGUCGAACGGAAGCACAGUAAGUGCUUGCUCUUACGGGUGGCGAGUGGCGGACGGGUGAGGAAUAUAUCGGACUCUACUUUUUCGUGGGGGAUCACGAAGGGAAACUUACGCUAAUACAGCAUCUGCCCUACGGGUGAAAGCAGGGGAUCUUCGGACCUUGCGGGGUUGAAUGAGCCGAUGUCGGUGUGGCUAGUUGGCGGGGUAAUGGCCAACCAAGGCGACGAUCCGUAGCUGGUGUGAGUGAAUGGUCGGCCACACUAGAACUGGGACACGGACCAGGCUCCUACGAGAGGCAGCAGUGGGGAAUAGUGGGCAAUAGGCGCAAGCCUGAUCCAGCCAUACCGCGUGGGUGAAGGCGGCCUUCGGGUUGGAAAGCCCUUUUGUGGGUAAAGAAAAGCAGCAGGUUAAGACGCCGCUGUUCUGACGGUACCCAAUGAAUAAGCACCGGCUAACUUCGUG